UCGCUCUUUUAAUGUGCGAUCACUCCCGAUUCGUGACAUAUUCAAUUCGCAGACGUGGGAAUGCCUUCCCUUUAUUUGUUUCGAAUCGCUUUAGAAACCUAUUCGUUAGUUGGCAUGUUUUGUUAGCUUCUAGGUUUAGUAGAUGUGAUUUAUUGGCGGCAGGACCAAGAGGGGGGUGAGGUAGGGUGAAGCAUAAGCUGUGCAAGAAAUGGGUAAUGAAAUACUUGUGGGCAUAAAAGAUAAAGCUAUUCAAUUAAUGUUGGUGGUCGGACGGGACACAGGGUGAUAUUCAAAAUAAGUAAAAAUGUAUUUUGUAUGUACUAAAAGACACACACACACACACACUGAGCAAUCUAUUCUUCUAACAUUAUAGUUGACAUAUAGACAUACAGCCUAUUUAUAACAGCAGUGGCUCUAUUCGAGUUGUAUUUAUCUAUAUAGUGACGGA
Biomphalaria glabrata is the source of this 448-nucleotide long non-coding RNA. RefSeq lists it as uncharacterized. NCBI's taxonomy places the organism in Eukaryota, Metazoa, Mollusca, Gastropoda, Planorbidae. The transcript has 2 exons. The record is from RefSeq and is a predicted model, not a curated record.